RNAcentral lists this ribosomal RNA (468 nucleotides) under uncultured bacterium. RNAcentral's name for it is "partial 16S ribosomal RNA". It matches the Rfam family "Bacterial small subunit ribosomal RNA", at positions 28 to 523 of the family's 1533-position model. The record is from RNAcentral.
GAUGAACGCUGGCGGCGUGCCUAACACAUGCAAGUCGAGCGAUUCUCUUCGGAGAAGAGCGGCGGACGGGUGAGUAACGCGUGGGUAACCUGCCCUGUACACACGGAUAACAUACCGAAAGGUAUGCUAAUACGAGAUGAUAUGCUUUUAUCGCAUGGUAGAAGUAUCAAAGCUCCGGCGGUACAGGAUGGACCCGCGUCUGAUUAGCUAGUUGGUAAGGUAACGGCUUACCAAGGCGACGAUCAGUAGCCGACCUGAGAGGGUGAUCGGCCACAUUGGAACUGAGACACGGUCCAAACUCCUACGGGAGGCAGCAGUGGGGAAUAUUGCACAAUGGGCGAAAGCCUGAUGCAGCAACGCCGCGUGAGCGAUGAAGGCCUUCGGGUCGUAAAGCUCUGUCCUCAAGGAAGAUAAUGACGGUACUUGAGGAGGAAGCCCCGGCUAACUACGUGCCAGCCGCCGCAGUAA